RNAcentral lists this ribosomal RNA (1014 nucleotides) under Listeria monocytogenes. Its description in RNAcentral is "partial 23S ribosomal RNA". It matches the Rfam family "Bacterial large subunit ribosomal RNA", at positions 1 to 1007 of the family's 2925-position model. The record is from RNAcentral. Lineage: Bacteria; Bacillati; Bacillota; Bacilli; Caryophanales; Listeriaceae.
UUGGUUAAGUUAGAAAGGGCGCACGGUGGAUGCCUUGGCACUAGGAGCCGAAGAAGGACGGGACUAACACCGAUAUGCUUUGGGGAGCUGUACGUAAGCGUUGAUCCAGAGAUUUCCGAAUGGGGGAACCCACUAUCUUUAGUCGGAUAGUAUCCUUACGUGAAUACAUAGCGUGAGGAAGGCAGACCCAGGGAACUGAAACAUCUAAGUACCUGGAGGAAGAGAAAGAAAAAUCGAUUUCCUGAGUAGCGGCGAGCGAAACGGAAAGAGCCCAAACCAAGAAGCUUGCUUCUUGGGGUUGUAGGACACUCUAUACGGAGUUACAAAAGAAAGUUAUAAAUGAAGCGGUCUGGAAAGGCCCGCCAAAGACGGUAACAGCCCGGUAGUUGAAAUGGCUUUCCCUCCAGAGUGGAUCCUGAGUACGGCGGAACACGUGAAAUUCCGUCGGAAUCCGGGAGGACCAUCUCCCAAGGCUAAAUACUCCCUAGUGACCGAUAGUGAACCAGUACCGUGAGGGAAAGGUGAAAAGCACCCCGGAAGGGGAGUGAAACAGUUCCUGAAACCGUGUGCCUACAAGUAGUUAGAGCCCGUUAAUGGGUGAUAGCGUGCCUUUUGUAGAAUGAACCGGCGAGUUACGAUUUGUUGCAAGGUUAAGCGGAAAAAGCGGAGCCGUAGCGAAAGCGAGUCUGAAUAGGGCGCAUAAGUAACAGGUCGUAGACCCGAAACCAGGUGAUCUACCCAUGUCCAGGAUGAAGGUAAGGUAAUACUUACUGGAGGUCCGAACCCACGCACGUUGAAAAGUGCGGGGAUGAGGUGUGGGUAGCGGAGAAAUUCCAAUCGAACUUGGAGAUAGCUGGUUCUCUCCGAAAUAGCUUUAGGGCUAGCCUCGAGGUAAAGAGUCAUGGAGGUAGAGCACUGUUUGGACUAGGGGCCCUUCUCGGGUUACCGAAUUCAGAUAAACUCCGAAUGCCAUGUACUUAUACUCGGGAGUCAGACUGCGAGUGAUAAGAUCCG